UUGGAGGGCAAGUCUGGUGCCAGCAGCCGCGGUAAUUCCAGCUCCAAUAGCGUAUAUUAAAGUUGUUGCAGUUAAAAAGCUCGUAGUUGAAUUUCGGGAUUGACGUGAUGGUCGUGCCUUACGGGGUAUGAACUGUUGCAGUCAAUUUCUCACCUUCUGGAGAAAUAUGAUGUCCUUAAUUGGGUGUCAUAUGGAACCAAAACUUUUACCUUGAAAAAAUUAGGGUGUUUAAAGCAGGCUUAUUGCUCGAAUACAUUAGCAUGGAAUAAUAAAAUAGGACGGCAUGGUUCUAUUUUGUUGGUUUCUAGGAUCACCGUAAUGAUUAAUAGGGAUAGUUGGGGGCAUUAGUAUUCAAUUGUCAGAGGUGAAAUUCUUGGUUUUAUUGAAGACUAACUACUGCGAAAGCAUUUGCCAAGGAUGUUUUCAUCAAUCAAGAACGAAAGUUAGGGGAUCGAAGACGAUCAGAUACCGUAGUAGUCUUAACCAUAAACUAUGCCGACUAGGAAUCAGACGAUGUUAAUUUUUUAAUGACUCGUUUGGCACCUUACGGGAAACCAAAGUGUUUGGGUUC
This 571-nucleotide ribosomal RNA is filed under the name uncultured Glomeromycotina. Its description in RNAcentral is "SSU rRNA". It matches the Rfam family "Eukaryotic small subunit ribosomal RNA", at positions 548 to 1114 of the family's 1831-position model. The record is from RNAcentral. Lineage: Eukaryota; Fungi; Glomeromycota.